AAAAAGGGAGCCAGUUAUACAGUUAUAACUAAAAGCUAGACAGUCAGAGGCACGUUACUUCAACAGCACCGGAAUCUGAGGCUGAAAAACAGAGAAAAUUGUGUCUGUCCUGGAUUUAAUAACUUUUAGAAGAGUAAGUUGAAAACCCAGAAGUAGAUUCCAAAUUAAAACCAUACCUGUUCUCUCUUUAGGGGAAAACUGGUUAAAGACACACAGCAGAUGGUGGGAGCAGGGUUGAAUCACAGCGUGACAGUGAAGGGCCAGUCACCAAACACACAGUGGACCAGAAGAUGGGCAAGUGAAGAUGCCCAGUUAUGCUGCCCUGGAAUAAUUUACCAUAAAAUGAUGGCAGGAGCCAUAUAAGAAAGGUGAGGGAUGCAUCAAAUGGAUGUUGGCUUGCUUGUGCCCCCUAAAAGCCACCACCAGCCCAACAUGAGAAACUGCAGGAAAGGAGAGGGCUGGAGCUGGGCUGAGCCUUUAGGAGAUGGUACCCGGAAAGAUGUCGUAAAGAAGAAGAGGACAAGAGCAGCAAGAGGGACGGGACUACAGGAACUGCCCAGGAGUCGCAGUCAGGAGGAGCCACAGAGCCGUGGAAAAGGAGACACACGUACCUGCCCGAACCUGUCACCUGUGUGAGGGGCUGGAAACCACAGCCCUCCUGCUGGGUCCACUCAUAGACCAAAUAACUAGCACAAGAAGAAAAGCUGAACAUAUGGAUCCUUAUUCUCAAAAUUUACCUAAACUUUUACAUUAAAAAAAAACAACUCAUCCACCAUAAGCAGAUUGUGUACACCGUACCCUUCCAGACUGCCCCGCUGAGUGGCUGUUUGCUUGUGCAGCCUUGGCAAAGCAGUUGGCUGAAGGUCUCACCAGACCAGUGGUGGAGAGGGACUGAGACCUGUGGACCUCCUCCAAUUCCAUCACCUGCAUCCGCAGACACAAUUUCAUACCCGGGGCUGGUGUGAUGUCCUGAAGGGUCCUGUGUGCUUCUUCUUAAUGACCAUCAGCAACACAGCCAUCAGUAAUGGAAAUGAAAAGUCUACCUUGUAAACCCUUUGAGUUUUUCUGCCUGUGUCUGGGCACCCGUCACUCUCUGGAUCAAAUUCAGAAGUACAGGGACAGUCUUUAAUCUCCUGACUUUCUAAAUUACACCCUCAUAUUCUCAGUUCUACAGCAGCAACCAGCAAUGCCAUCGUCACCUUCUUCUACUCAAUACCAGCAGAAAGUAGCCCCAAAAUAAAGACAAUCUCACAAACUUCCCCUCUGCCAAGAGAGACAGUCUUGUCCUAAUGACUUGAGUUUUUGAGCAAGGUCAACCCUUGCUAACAAGAGACUGGUGACUUUUCUGGACAGAAAUUAGAUUCUGAGGCAGCUCAUUGUUAGCAGCUUAAACAAAACAUUGCUAAACCGCAGACCUAAACCUAUCUGCUAACUAUCCCAGGAAAAACUUCGUAAUCUCUGCAUGAACCAGCGAUUGUUUCAUAAUUGGGCUGGUAAAAACACCUAGAGCUCUCUAGCUUUCUCAGCUGACACAUCACAAUAAAACAUGAUGUGAGGUGAGUCAUUACCAUCAUGUUCUAUCACAUCCCAUCUCCUAAUGCAACCUGAGACUUGCAUUACACAUGAGCUGAACAAUAUUUUCCGAAGUAUUCAUGAUAGAAAAAAUCUGUGGUUCCAAGGGACGUCAUUUUGUUGAUUAAAAAACUGCCACCACCAAACCUGAAUCCUGCUGAGAAAAAUGGGGCCAUGGGCUCAGGUGCACCCAAAACAAUCUUCCUGCAAACCGCAGCAGGGCUGUCUGCUGGAGGAGAGGUACAGUGAGCAGAGGUUACCUGUGUAGGCACUCAGAUCAAAAACCCAUUGGAGAAAAUCAUAUUUAAAAGUGGAGCUGGAUCUGAACCAGAACUGCAGAGCCAGACACAUGGAGCUUUGGCAAAUCCUGACACAGCGUUUUGGGGGGUUGGAUCAAUGGGCCAGUUUUGACUUUGCAUUUAAGAGUCAGUGUCUGAUGUGAUGCACCCUCCCAUCUCCCUGGAUCCUCCCUACCAUCACUGGUGUUUCCUCAUAACUAAUGACCCAGUCACUUAAGAUUUCCCAAAUGACAUCAGCGACCCUAAAACCCAGUAAGCAAACACUUGCACACAGCUGUCCCUGCACAAAAGAUGCUGAGAGGAAUAGGGAAAUCACAGAUUGCUACACACAGAAAUACCAGCCGCACGUUGGAAAAAAAGGGGUUGGAAAUGCAGACGUUGUCGUGCUGCCCUGGGCAGCGCUGCAGAAAUCCGGGAUGUGUGGAGUCGCACUGCCCACAUCUCCAAGCACUGCCUGGAGGGAUGUGUCACACCAGGAGCAAAGUCUCUUCCUGAGGUCACCGGACCCGUCUCUCUGGUUAGCAGGGAUCAUACAGCCGACAGCGGUUCUCCGUGGGAACAGGAAAACUGACAGUGGUAACACCAGGUGCUUCCUAAAAUAAAACGCUUACUCCACAGUCCGUGUCCUGCCAGCCAAGCAGAGUUAGAGACAGCCUGAGGAACAACAAGCGGCGGCAGGAGCUGUGCCUGAGUCAGGAGGUGCACGUCCCAUCACCCACCAAGGAAUGUCCCAUGACGCGAUUUUGUCUGAGGAGGCGGGAAGGAGGGUGAAGGUGUGUGGGACCACGCUCUGGAGAUACCAUCACUGCCAUGAGCUCAUGCAUUCUCAUACCAGAGCCCGUGAGAGCCUGGUGGGACCGAGGGCAUCGGAGCUGGGUCUCAAAUAUGGGUCUGCUUUUUCUGUGUCCUGGGCUCUGCAUGGCCUUUUUCUCAUUAUGUCAGACUGAUAACAGGUUAUUAGCAAGUUGCUCAAAUGCUCAUCAUGCUCAUCUGAGUGGUCAUUACAAUUUAAGGAGCUGAGUGACAGGUGCUGUGAGUGACAAUGUGCUUUCCUAACCUAACUGAGAGGGUGAUCAAUGGUAGGAAAUGGCUUUUCUGUGAGGAAUGGUUCAAUAUGCUGUACCUCUUGAGCCAUAAAAGAGUUAACCAAAUGUUGAUGUGAACAAAAUGUGUAAAACCACAAUUGGCACAGAAAAGGUGAAUAAGGAUGUGCUGUUCACUGUCUGGUCCAAUGUCAGGAGGGAGGAGGGAAGGAAAAUAAAAGAAGCUCGCAAGAGAGGGGUUUAAAACACAGGGGAUAUCUCUUUACCUGACAGUCAGGUGAGGAAUCCCUUGCCAUAGGACACUGGGCAUUGAGCAAUUUUCAAGGUCAACAGGCAAUCAAAAAAGUCAGUAUAAAAAAAUACUGGGCAACAGAAAGACCAAUUCUGGAUUCAGGAGCCUCUGACCCACAAAGUGCCGUGGUUGGGAAAACACUCUGGUGAGGUGUAAUUACAUGCUGAGCCUGUUCCUGUGCUCUCCCCUCGACAUCAAUCGUUAGUCUCCAUCAAAGGCAGGACAGUGGGCCAGGUAGCUGACAAAUCAUUUUUAUGGGUAUAAAGCGUGACUCACAGCACAGGGAAGGCUCUAGCUCUGGUUACCUCCUUGCUUGGAAUCCUGAAGCAGUAAAACUCAUGUUGUCACACCACCACCAGUGUGGCAGGUUGUGGCUUGCAUCUGCUGCCAAGAUAUCAUCGUGUACCUUUGGCGAUUGUCCCUUCCCGGUGCCGUGGGAAGCGGCAGCUCAGUGCUCCUCAAUGGCUCCUUUUGCUCCUUUCCUUGCCCAGCUCCAAGCGUGCAGUCUGUUAAAGAAGCUCCAACCUGUCUCUUGGUUUCACAUAGCAAUAUGUAAUCAGCACUGCUCAACUUAACAUAUUACAGCCUCCAAAGAUGUCACACAUUGGGACUCCAAAAAUCAGGAAGAAACAUUUAUUUCAUAAGUUUCAACCUGAUACAUUUAAGAGGCAUAUUUUCCUACUGGCUUUGGAGUGAUCUACCAUUUUGCCCUGUUAUCUUUCACCUUAGAAACCUGGAAGUAACUUUUGCUUUUCAGGUUAAAGAAAUUUUACCAACUGUAACUCUCUAACAUUGAGAUAAUGUAAAAAAACCUCUUAUCAUAAGACUUCAUUAACUUGUAACCACCAGCAGCCUAAAGAACAAGCAACACAUUUUGCAUUGACUGAAGGAUGAGCUCUUCCCAAACAAGGGAUGGAAAAAAUUAUGCAUCCUGUUUAAGUAGAAAGGUGUAUGUGCAUGCCAAUGGAAACAGGCAUUGAAGAGAUGCAAUUAAACAUCCAGCCAGUGCAGUGAGGUCCUGUUCCCUCCUUGGAGACAUCCUAGAAAAUCUGUGAUCACUUCCAGGCGGAUAUGGAGACUUCUCCCUGAAAUCAAAGCAUCCAGACUCGCUAAGAGAGCAUGUGUUUUGAGCUUCCUCUCACACUCACCUCUUGCUUUUGGGGCUGGCUUUGCAGUGACGACAUGGGGUCUCCUGGAAGAGCCAGAAGGAAAGUCUGGGAUACUUGAUGCUGUAGUUCAAGAUGUGACAAAUGACAUGAGUAGUGUCUGCUGGUUGUGAUGACAGCAGCGAGGUAACCUACCCACUUGGAAAUGUCAUCUCAUGUCAGCUCAGCCACUUUGGAAGCACAGCUCCUGCCAUCAGCAGUUAACAGCUGGUGGCCAAGAUGGCACCAACAAGGUACUUAAUGAACCUAACACUUCCCAACACCCCACCUAAUCCUUUUGGGCUAGAAAAAACUUGUGAGAAGUCCAAGUGUGCUGACACAGGGCAGCUGAAUUUAUCACAGUUUCAAAUAUGAACAUUUAUUAAAAUUGAGCGUCUGUCUAUGGCUUUAAGUGCCCUGUAUUAAUUCUUAUCAGCGGAGAGGAAAAUUGUCUUGCCUUGCCUGGUUUUCAGUGCUACAGGUAGCGAUGAGCAAAGUUUUGCAAAUAGUGAUAAAAAGACCAGAUUCUGGUCAUUGGGAAGAGAAUAUACCUAAUCGUGGGCAAAUGUACCACCCCCCAAAAAAUACAUGACUUAUAGUGGAGAAAGGUGCUCCCCAGGCAAGGUUACAGGAGAGAGCACUAACAUUUAAGUUAAAUUUGGACAUAAAGGAGCAGGACUGCACACAAAGGAAGAGAACUGAGAUCUGAAGUGCAGGAAGGACUAGCCUGAGCAUCCCAGGCAUAAACAGUCCGGUGCAACUGGCACACAAAACGAAGGAAAAAAAAUGGAAUCAAUACAUUUCUGUAUUGGCAGAAUAAAACAUUGACAUUCAAUAUAGUAACAAGCUAAUCCCACCACUUGACAGGCACCAGUUUGGUGGCACAUGUCUUGGAACAUUCCUGAAGAACAAGGGGGCACAAGUCACACACAUUUCAGACGUGUUUGGGAAAACAGGCAGUUUGGUGCUUCCCUAAUGAUCAUUAUACAUUUUCCAGGUAUCUGACUCUCUUCUUUUCAAAAGCAUCAUCUUUUCAGUGUGUUAUUUCAACAAAUACAUACCGAGUAUCAUGAGAUUAUUCUGAAUUUUGGGAAAAAAAGCAAGUCUCUGUAAAGGCAGCCAAGCUGGAAGAGAAAAAUUGAGUUUUGUAUUGCAUUUAGCAGUAGAAUUUACAGGUCUGCAAGCUGCCCACAGAGGAGAGCAGCAGCACAGAGCAGAGGCUGGGUAAAAACCUGAAAAAUACGUUUUUAUCAUUUUGACACCUGCGUUCUCUGAGAUCAUUUAUUUGGGAUCAAAGUCUCGCCAAACCCUAGUUCAAAGAGCAGGUGGUGCACAUCUCGGAAAGGUGAGGAAAAACAACUGAAUUCAAACCAUUUUUGUAGUGGCAGCUUCUAAGUGAGGAACAGGAACCUGUAUCUAGCAGUAUUUUGUUUGUUUGCGAUUAUGUCCCACUAUCUUAAGAUAAAAUUGGUUUGUUUUCAGUGUAUCAUUUUCAUUACGCUGUUACCCAACUAUUCUCUACUGUAAUAACUUAAUUUUCUCACGGGAUACAUUUUGGGUCUCUGAGACCAGGUAUCUGCUCUGUAAAGAAUCAUUUUGCAAUAUGUUUCAUAAACCACGUCAGGUCUGUAUUCAAACUAGCUUUGCUUCUGUCCUCAGCUCUUCCACAGAAGUGUUGUAGGAUGGUCAGCAAUCUUUUCCCAGCUUUCACAAUACAUUUAUUCAUCACAGC
This is a long non-coding RNA of Columba livia (rock pigeon), 6083 nucleotides long. RefSeq lists it as uncharacterized. NCBI's taxonomy places the organism in Eukaryota, Metazoa, Chordata, Aves, Columbiformes, Columbidae. The transcript is spliced from 2 exons. The record is from RefSeq and is a predicted model, not a curated record.